GCAGCGCGACACACAAUACUCGCCGGAAGCGGAAGCCGCGCCGAGAGGCUCGUGUCAGUGGAAGUCGGGGUGUCGCCGGGUGGCCGCGGGAGGGCCUAGCGGUGCCUGUGGAGGAAGGAGAAGGCGGGGGCCGGAGGUGAGAACCCAGGAGGAGUCAAGGGCGAGAAGGGACCCGGAGGGGCAGGUGGCUGAAAUGCCGUCGUCCAGGUGACCCGAGGAAGCCUCCGGAGAAAGAGGGCCGCGCAUGCGCGUGGUUGAGCGCUGAAGCCCAUUGCCCGCAGGGCGCCGAUGGACUCCCGGGCCGGCGGGGCUGUCCCGUCCAGGCUGCGGGCCUGGGCUCUGGCCAGGCUCGUCUGGGCCCGGGUGGGGCUGGGAGCCGCCGGGGGCGGGGCCAGGGCGGGUUGGGGACUUUGAGCUACACUUAUCCUCUGUGCAGCCAGUCCAGGGGGAAGGUGGCUAGUGGAGGCGGCGGCCAAUUGCGUGGCGGACCUGCGGGUCUCAGCUGGCACGUCACUUCCGAUUACUUGAGUCUAGCCUUUUAACAUUCAGGGAUUAAGUGAGUUCUCCGUGCCGUGGGCUUCGAAUGCUCCUCGCCCUACCCCUGCUUGGCUGGCUUUGCUGAAAUGACCUACUUCCCCCGCCGAAGCGGGAGCCCUGAAAGAGCUGGUACUGCGACUCCGCGGUUCACCUUUGUAUCUUCAGCUCCUGGCUCCGGGCCCGACAGCAGCAAGCGCGGUAAACACUGUUAAGUGGAACCCGAUUUCCUUUGCUGGAUUCUCACUCCUGGGCUCCAGUGUUAAGAGGAUGGAGAACAAACUGGCUAAAAUCCAUUGGGCCGGAUGUCUGCCUCUUGAAGUGGAUUCUUGCAGAAUGGACAGCACAUGGCUCCCUUGGUGGAUCUGAGUGUGACACAGCACUCAGUGAUGCAGGCCUGGCAGAAGCUGCAGCCACAGAAGAUGCUCACAGGGUCCUUCAGGUGCUCUAGGCAGACACUGCAGGUCAUCACUUCCAGGAGGUUCCCAAUAGUUGGCCCGUCACCAUGACUGCUGUUCAAGCUGUGAGAAUAAACAUUGGUUGAGCAUCAACUAUGUGCCAGGCACUGGUCUGAGCACUUGACAUAUAUCAACUCAACCGAUCCUCACCACAUUCCUAAAACAUCACCCAUUUCACAGGUAUGAGGUAUAGAUAUGUGAUUGAGAUGUAAGUCAGUCCUGUCUGCCUUUUCCCCUCCAAAAAUCUGUAGCAAGAGAAUUCAUCCUGAACACAACACAUGGAUCACACUCUCUGCAGUAUUUCUACUCGGCUGUGUCUGAGCCAGGUACAGGAGUCCCUGCGUUUACUGCCAGUGACUUCGUGGAUGACCAACCCUACAUCUGCUAUGACAGAGAAGAAAUGAAGGCAAAGUCUUGCAUUCAGUGAUUGAUGGAGGAGCCAAGUUACUCUGAUGAUGAGACCAAGAUCUUUACAAGUUGGAUGAAAAUUUUCCCCUUAAAUCUGAGAAACAUGCAGUGAUACUACAAUCAAACCAUGAUUCAUGGACUGAACAAACAGCACCCACAAAAUCAAGUAGAUUGGUGCCUGGGAGAAAGCAGAGGGAGGCACUGCUCACCACCUCACCCCCAUCCUCAGGGACAGGAAGCCUCUUGACAACAGUUCCCAUAGGGUCAGGUGGGACAGGCGAGUGUGCACAAGUUAUCACAUGAGAGUGAAGACUUGCCCAGUCUGGUCACAUGGGGAAUGGAGGCUGUUUGCCGUUACUCAUGAUUUCAGCAAUUCACUGGUCAUGGAUAUAAGCUUAGCAUAUAUAUUUUGGGGGCUGGAGGGGGGAACUACAAAAGUAUAAUCUAGUGUUUGUCCCCUGACAGCUUACAAUUAAUAUGGGGAGGCAGUCAUACUUCUGGGAGCAGUUUGUGGACCCUUUGAUGCACCAAGUGAUGUCAAAGACUGGGACUUCCUUAAAUGUCAAAUGAGAAGCAGAGAAAAUAGUUUACAAAAGUUCAUAGGCGAGACAUUCCAGUGGUCAGAGAGAGUUUCAUGAACGAGAUAAAUAGAACUUUGGAUAGAAACUGAAAGAGAUUUUUGAUUUGGGUCAAUGAAGAAAAUAAAUAAAUUUCAAGCAGGCAGAGAUUAAAGUUCAACAAGGUGUGGGGUGAGAUUUUCCAGCUGGGAUCUCCUGGGAGCUGAGUUCAUAGUAACUCGGGUCACAGGACAAGAGCUCGGGUGAGGAAGAGGAUCUGGGUUUCCUCAUUUUGAUCUAAGAGUGUCUCACCCCAAGGGGCUGAGUAGCACCUCCUUUCCCUGCUCCUUCUGGAGCCAAUGAGCAGACAACCUGUUGUGCCGCAAAGUCUGGGAGGGACCCCUGACUGUGGGAGGGCAGGCUGAGAAGCGGCAGGUGAGGUGGGAGGCUGGUGGGCUGCUGGACUCCCAGAGCCCAAUUCCCAGGUGCCCAGUGUAUGUGACAGCCUCUUGAUCUAAGGUCAGAUCCUCUGCUCGUCUAGGAGGAUGCCGGGAGCAGGGCACAUGAGAUCUAGAAAGUACCAGAGUGCCUGAGAAGUGGGUUUCUUUCUGUGGGACAAAUUUUCUCAGGUCCGUCUCCCUCAGGAUCUUAAAUUUCUUAUAAGAGAUUAAGUGAGAGUAAGCCAGGACCCAAAUCUGAAGGGAGUGUGUGAUGUGCAUGUGUAUGUGUCUGUCUGUCUAGAUUCACCUGUGCAUAUAAAUAUGUAUGGGUAUUUUUUUCGUCUGUGAGUGUACAUAUGUGUGUGUGUGUGUAUAAGUGUAUACGGGCAUGUGUAUGUGUAUGAGUUGUGUAUUUUUUUCAUCUGUGAGUGUGCAUGUGUGUGUGUGUAUAAGUGUAUACGGGCGUGUGUAUGCGUAUGAGUUGUGUGAGGGUGUAUGCGUAUAUAAGCACUCAUGUACGUGUGUGUUGCUCUGAGGCCUCCUCAUCCUUGGCCCCACCCUGGCCCUUCCCUCAUUUCCCCCACCCCUAGUCCACAGGUUGUAAGGGACAGAGCAGCUCUCCAUCUGCAGGCAAGUAAGAGGAGGCUCAGGGCAGUGAGUGUUGGAGAAUUGGCCCUCAUCACACUUGGAGGAAGGAAAUAGAAGCCCGAAAGCACAGCCGCACAAGGACAUGAGAGACGGAAGGGUUCACUCAUCUCCUUCUAAUCCUGCUGCCCCUGACUUUUCUUCCAACUGCCUCCCUGGUAACAUCUGCUCUCCAAGGUGAAAACAUGAGGAGAGUUCUGGUCAUAUCCCUGCUCAUGGGCACUUCCUCUGCCUGCUGCUCCCUACUGGGGCCUCCUGGAUAGAGUGAGAGAAAAACAACUAUGAUCGGAAGAGAACUUGAUGUCUAUGCUGGUGAGGAGAAAGCAGGAUGUCUGUCUUCAGGAAAAGGAAGGGCUGCCCUAGAGAAGAGGAGUGAGAGGAGUUCCUGGUGGACCUUUAGAUUGGCAGCCUCUGUUCCUUGCCAUGUGGGUCUUUCGCUUCAUCAGAGCCUGCAGGAAGAGAAGACAGUAGACAGACUGGCAAGACAUAAGUCACAAUCUUACAUGAUUCUAAUCAUGGAAGUGCCAUCACUGUGGCCACAUUCUGUUGGUGAUAAGCAAGUCACAGGUCCCUCUCACACUCAAGGGGAGGAGAUUCCACAAGCGACUGAUCACUAGGAUGUGGGGAUAUUUGGGCACUGUCUUAGAAUCUGCACAGGGUUGUUCCAGGUCAGAGAAAGCAGGAACCAGAGGUUGCAAGGCCUCUGCACUACAUGUGUUCAUGCACAGGACAGACAGUCACUGAACAAGAUCAUUGUAACUGUGAGUCCUGUGUUAGACAACGUGAUCUGCAGAGCUGAGCUGUGUUUAUCAAAGGCAGUUCUGGAUACAAGAAUUAUAGUGUCAUUGGAAAGGUUUCUCUCGAGUUUAUGUGAACCUGAGAGAGCAUCCUCUCGGAAUGUUUCCCCCUUUACUUUCAGACCUCCCACGUCCCUAGGAAAACACCAUCACUAAACUGAAUUGGUUUUUCUUCCACGUGUCAUCCUGCCAGGCAAAUCCUGGGUCCCACUGUUUCUUCCAGCUAGCUUUCAUACAGGAUCCCACAAAGUCACUUCUUCUGAUUCCACUUUGUUGGUUUCUUCCCCUUCAUCCAGGCGAUUUCUGUGAGAUUUUAUUUCUCUUGUAUUGAUUAGUCAGCUACAUUAGGAAAUGAGUGUUCUCUGACUAAACUCCCCACUAAUCUUUGGACCAAAUGGGUGAAGUUUCCUCUCCAGGUCCCAGCUCACUUCCCAACUUCCCACACAGGGACGAGACAAAAUUAGUGGGGCUCCUGGAAGGCCAUAGAUUAGCACAGUUCCUCGUCACGACGAGACAUUUAGGUCACAAAGGGAUGUACUUUAAUUGUCUUUAUGCAGUGGGUGGCACAUCUGGUGCAUAGUUGGCACUCAAUAGGUGUUUAUAGAACUCCACUAAAUUGAACUCCCUGCCAAUCACGCAAAAACUUAUGAACCUGCCAACUACUCCUUAAGCUAUGGGCCCAAAGCCCUUGUUUCUUCAGGUGGGAUGCUGACCAUCUGGGGCCUUCUCUUUCCCACUGCAUUUUUCACACGCUCCUGCUCCCAUGACAAGCAGUUGAGUUUUACACUCAGAACUCUGGUCCUUUCAAGCCUUUUUCUCCAUCCUAAUAUCUUCACUAUUUUUCCUGCAAAGGUUUUCCCUGCCCACCCCCGCUUCUUCUCCAUGUAUCUCCGUUCAUUCUCACAUUUCAACCAGAGAGAUUCUUCCUAAAUGCGGAUCUGAUUAGGGUUCUCCCUGGCUUCAGUGCCGCCAUGUGCUGCAUGUUCUCAGGUUAAAAGCCAAGGUUCUCCUCAGGCUGAGAUGGCCUUUGAGAUCUGGAGCGUGGUCCCCAUUCACUCCUGCUUUUUGUCACUGUGCUGUUCUCUAAUCUCCACCCUGAUCUGCUAACACUCCUCCACACUCGCAACGUGUUCUCUCCAUCUGAGCCUUUGUUUGUGAUGCUCUUUCUCUAAAAGGCUUCCUUUGCCCACUUACUUGGAUUAAGUCUAUUCCUUAGUCCAAGGUCCCAGGUCUCAGUCUUGACUUUGAUUCCUCCUGGAAGCUGUUUCCCAACCACUAAUUAUAACAUGUUGCAUGUGCCAGGUUAUUCAACCCCAUUGUGAAUUCCUUGUUUCUCUUACUGAGCCCAGCAGAGAGUCUGCUGUCUAGUAACUGCCUAAUAAAUGUUUGCUAAAUGAAUGUG
This is a non-coding RNA of Equus caballus (horse), 5241 nucleotides long. Lineage: Eukaryota; Metazoa; Chordata; Mammalia; Perissodactyla; Equidae. The record is from RefSeq and is a predicted model, not a curated record.